This 325-nucleotide long non-coding RNA is filed under the name Salmo salar (Atlantic salmon). RNAcentral's name for it is "lncRNA (ENSSSAG00000099831.1)". Lineage: Eukaryota; Metazoa; Chordata; Actinopteri; Salmoniformes; Salmonidae. The record is from RNAcentral.
CUUGCAUAUCCAUUGGACUUUUUCCAUUAAACAUUUUUGAUCGUAAACAGUUGUUACUCAAAACACAGCCAGGUGCAACUUUGCUAAACUGCGUACAAUUUAGGAUACUACUGAGGAGAUUACCAUUGUGGGAGCCAGGAGGAGGAAAGCCAAGAGGACAAUUCAGACCCAGAGCUGAGGUGGCUCCAAAAAACCCAGCAACUCAAGGACAAGAAAAUGAGACGACAGAAGCUGUAUUCAAAUGUGAUCCGUGAGCAGAACAAGAAGAUAAGUAGGAUUACCUUUCUGCCGGACGCCAAGAACCCAUUGGGCAGUGACAACAAGG